RNAcentral lists this ribosomal RNA (253 nucleotides) under uncultured bacterium. RNAcentral's name for it is "partial 16S ribosomal RNA". It matches the Rfam family "Bacterial small subunit ribosomal RNA", at positions 524 to 776 of the family's 1533-position model. The record is from RNAcentral.
UACGUGGGGGGCAAGCGUUGUUCGGAAUUACUGGGCGUAAAGGGCUCGUAGGCGGCCAACUAAGUCAGACGUGAAAUCCCCAGGCUUAACCUGGGAACUGCGUCUGAUACUGGAUGGCUUGAAUUCGGGAGAGGGAUGCAGAAUUCCAGGUGUAGCGGUGAAAUGCGUAGAUAUCUGGAGGAAUACCGGUGGCGAAGGCGGCAUCCUGGACCGAGAUUGACGCUGAUGAGCGAAAGCUAGGGGAGCAAACGGG